GAUAAACGCUGGCGGUGUGCUUUAUGCAUGCAAGUCGAACGAGUCAUUUCGGUGAUUAGUGGCGAACGGGUGAGUAACACGUAAGUAACCUGUCCUCAAGUGGGGAAUAACUCUGAGAAAUCGGAGUUAAUACCGCAUGUGGUGAUGGAGGUAAGGCUUCAUUACUAAAGCCGCAAGGCGCUUGAGGAGGGGCUUGCGCCCGAUUAGCUAGUUGGUGAGGUAACGGCACACCAAGGCUAAGAUCGGUAGCUGGUUUGAGAGGACGACCAGCCACACUGGGACUGAGACACGGCCCAGACUCCUACGGGUGGCAG
RNAcentral lists this ribosomal RNA (314 nucleotides) under uncultured Chloroflexota bacterium. Its description in RNAcentral is "bacterial SSU rRNA". It matches the Rfam family "Bacterial small subunit ribosomal RNA", at positions 28 to 351 of the family's 1533-position model. Lineage: Bacteria; Bacillati; Chloroflexota. The record is from RNAcentral.